Molecule: ribosomal RNA, 253 nt
Filed under: uncultured bacterium
Lineage: Bacteria
Description: partial 16S ribosomal RNA
Rfam family: Bacterial small subunit ribosomal RNA
Source: RNAcentral
UACAGAGGUCUCAAGCGUUGUUCGGAUUCAUUGGGCGUAAAGGGUGUGUAGGUGGCGCGCUAAGUCGGGUGUGAAAUUUCGGAGCUCAACUCCGAAACUGCAUUCGAUACUGGCGUGCUUGAGGACUGGAGAGGAGACUGGAAUUUACGGUGUAGCAGUGAAAUGCGUAGAUAUCGUAAGGAAGACCAGUGGCGAAGGCGGGUCUCUGGACAGUUCCUGACACUGAGACACGAAGGCCAGGGGAGCAAACGGG